AGAGUUUGAUCCUGGCUCAGGACGAACGCUGGCGGCGUGCUUAACACAUGCAAGUCGAACGGAAAGGCCCUUCGGGGUACUCGAGUGGCGAACGGGUGAGUAACACGUGGGUGAUCUGCCCUGCACUUUGGGAUAAGCCUGGGAAACUGGGUCUAAUACCGAAUAUGACCAUGCACUUCCUGGUGUGUGGUGGAAAGCUUUUGCGGUGUGGGAUGGGCCCGCGGCCUAUCAGCUUGUUGGUGGGGUAAUGGCCUACCAAGGCGACGACGGGUAGCCGGCCUGAGAGGGUGACCGGCCACACUGGGACUGAGAUACGGCCCAGACUCCUACGGGAGGCAGCAGUGGGGAAUAUUGCACAACGGGCGCAAGCCUGAUGCAGCGACGCCGCGUGAGGGAUGACGGCCUUCGGGUUGUAAACCUCUUUCAGCACAGACGAAGCGCAAGUGACGGUAUGUGCAGAAGAAGGACCGGCCAACUACGUGCCAGCAGCCGCGGUAAUACGUAGGGUCCGAGCGUUGUCCGGAGUUACUGGGCGUAAAGAGCUCGUAGGUGGUUUGUCGCGUUGUUCGUGAAAACUCACAGCUUAACUGUGGGCGUGCGGGCGAUACGGGCAGACUUGAGUACUGCAGGGGAGACUGGAAUUCCUGGUGUAGCGGUGGAAUGCGCAGAUAUCAGGAGGAACACCGGUGGCGAAGGCGGGUCUCUGGGCAGUAACUGACGCUGAGGAGCGAAAGCGUGGGGAGCGAACAGGAUUAGAUACCCUGGUAGUCC
Molecule: ribosomal RNA, 771 nt
Filed under: uncultured bacterium
Lineage: Bacteria
Description: bacterial SSU rRNA
Rfam family: Bacterial small subunit ribosomal RNA
Source: RNAcentral